Molecule: ribosomal RNA, 864 nt
Filed under: Salmonella enterica subsp. enterica serovar Paratyphi B var. L(+) tartrate +
Lineage: Bacteria; Pseudomonadati; Pseudomonadota; Gammaproteobacteria; Enterobacterales; Enterobacteriaceae
Description: partial 23S ribosomal RNA
Rfam family: Bacterial large subunit ribosomal RNA
Source: RNAcentral
GUGUUGUGAGCUCGAUGAGUAGGGCGGGACACGUGGUAUCCUGUCUGAAUAUGGGGGGACCAUCCUCCAAGGCUAAAUACUCCUGACUGACCGAUAGUGAACCAGUACCGUGAGGGAAAGGCGAAAAGAACCCCGGCGAGGGGAGUGAAAAAGAACCUGAAACCGUGUACGUACAAGCAGUGGGAGCACAGGUUUACCUGUGUGACUGCGUACCUUUUGUAUAAUGGGUCAGCGACUUAUAUUCUGUAGCAAGGUUAACCGUAUAGGGGAGCCGGAGGGAAACCGAGUCUUAAUUGGGCGUUAAGUUGCAGGGUAUAGACCCGAAACCCGGUGAUCUAGCCAUGGGCAGGUUGAAGGUUGGGUAACACUAACUGGAGGACCGAACCGACUAAUGUUGAAAAAUUAGCGGAUGACCUGUGGCUGGGGGUGAAAGGCCAAUCAAACCGGGAGAUAGCUGGUUCUCCCCGAAAGCUAUUUAGGUAGCGCCUCGUGAAUUCAUCUCCGGGGGUAGAGCACUGUUUCGGCUAGGGGGCCAUCCCGGCUUACCAACCCGAUGCAAACUGCGAAUACCGGAGAAUGUUAUCACGGGAGACACACGGCGGGUGCUAACGUCCGUCGUGAAGAGGGAAACAACCCAGACCGCCAGCUAAGGUCCCAAAGUCAUGGUUAAGUGGGAAACGAUGUGGGAAGGCCCAGACAGCCAGGAUGUUGGCUUAGAAGCAGCCAUCAUUUAAAGAAAGCGUAAUAGCUCACUGGUCGAGUCGGCCUGCGCGGAAGAUGUAACGGGGCUAAACCAUGCACCGAAGCUGCGGCAGCGACGCUUAUGCGUUGUUGGGUAGGGGAGCGUUCUGUAAGCCUGUGAAG